UGCAUGCUUUUCAAUUCAAUUUUCAAUUUCAAAAUCAAUGAUAUGGAAAAAAUCACAUACAAAAUGAAGUCACUUUUUCGUGUUUAAGCCAAACGGAUACGCUGAAGAAAUCAAAAUUUCGAGUGCGCAGUCAAACGGCCAAAUGCAGCUUUUGCAAUUCCGCACAAGGAAUGCAAAGCACCAUGUAUUGCGAAUUGAAAAAGAAAUCAAAUUGAAUACUAAGGUGGCCACAAAUAAAAAAGUCGUCUGCGAUGCCGUGCUGACAUACACCCAACCAGCAGCAAUGGCAAUAGAACAACCAUGCCAGUGAGUGCUGAUAGCAAUGCACCCACAAUAAGUAAUAAGGGGCCGUCUCGAACUUUAGAGAUAUGCUUCCAACAGAUAUGCUUUCUUGGCACCACCCCAUAAGGCCGAAGACAUAGGACUAUCGAAUCAGUGGCUGAGCAGCCCAUUUCAUCUCUAGAAGGAAACCGAAAAAUGCAAAGAACAAUGCCCCCACAUCGUGCUGAUUAGAAUAGACGACGUCCAACUUGGGUAGGACUAUGUGGCUCCUAGCCAAUAAUGUGCCCACCUACAGGGACAUCGUACAGAAACUGGAAGAAUAAAAAAUUAAGUUAUACUUAUAUCAGCUGCAGGAGGAUAAGCCCUAUCGCAUAGUAACCACGGAGGCCUGUGGUGGACCACUCCACACCGAGGGUUCAUCACCUGCAGAGCCAGGGUCAUACCGUUCUCUACGUACACUAUCCGAACAGCAGUCACCAAGGGGCCCAUGAAUAUUCACUUUUUUAACUUGCUGUCGGCGGCUAACAGCAAGGGGGCUCUUACCAUCAGGAAGCUGUGCAGCAGGUGGUCAAGUUCGAGACUACUCGAAGCCGGGAUGUGGUGCAAUGCCAUAGAUCUCAGGAGUACGGGCAUACGGCCACAUACUGUGGGAAAAAACACAAAUGCGUUAAAUGUAAGCUGGAUCAUCGAACUGCUGAUUGCGCACGGCUCAAUGAAGUUUCGGCAACAUGCGCCCACUGUGAUGGUAACCACCCUGCCAACUAUAAGGACUGCGAGUGCUUCGCUGAAUAUAUAAUGCGAUAGCCCUAACAGCCGCUGCCACCAGAAGGGGACUAGCUGCAUUCAGCAAAGAGAACAACGCCCCAGCUAUAGCCUGCGAAAAGGACCAGUGCACGCGACUUUUGAUUGCUGAAUGAAUAUUGACUCCUUAUAACCUGCAGCAACCCGUUAGGCCCAAAGGAUAUGCUUCCAACAGAUAUGCUUUCUUGGCACCACCCCAUAAGGCCGAAGACAUAGGACUAUCGAAUCAGUGGCUGAGCAGCCCAUUUCAUCUCUAGAAGGAAACCGAAAAAUGCAAAGAACAAUGCCCCCACAUCGUGCUGAUUAGAAUAGACGACGUCCAACUUGGGUAGGACUAUGUGGCUCCUAGCCAAUAAUGUGCCCACCUACAGGGACAUCGUACAGAAACUGGAAGAAUAAAAAAUUAAGUUAUACUUAUAUCAGCUGCAGGAGGAUAAGCCCUAUCGCAUAGUAACCACGGAGGCCUGUGGUGGACCACUCCACACCGAGGGCUCAUCACCUGCAGAGCCAGGGUCAUACCGUUCUCUACGUACACUAUCCGAACAGCAGUCACCAAGGGGCCCAUGAAUAUUCACUUUUUUAACUUGCUGUCGGCGGCUAACAGCAAGGGGGCUCUUACCAUCAGGAAGCUGUGCAGCAGGUGGUCAAGUUCGAGACUACUCGAAGCCGGGAUGUGGUGCAAUGCCAUAGAUCUCAGGAGUACGGGCAUACGGCCACAUACUGUGGGAAAAAACACAAAUGCGUUAAAUGUAAGCUGGAUCAUCGAACUGCUGAUUACGCACGGCUCAAUGAAGUUUCGGCAACAUGCGCCCACUGUGAUGGUAACCACCCUGCCAACUAUAAGGACUGCGAGUGCUUCGCUGAAUAUAUAAUGCGGUAGCCCUAACAGCCGCUGCCACCAGAAGGGGACUAGCUGCAUUCAGCAAAGAGAACAACGCCCCAGCUAUAGCCUGCGAAAAGGACCAGUGCACGCGACUUUUGAUUGCUGAAUGAAUAUUGACUCCUUAUAACCUGCAGCAACCCGUUGGGCCCAAAGGGUAAAUGUUUGGCAAGCCCGUACACUUGUAUAUGUAGGUUAACUGACUGAUCACUUAAAUGAUUUUAUGAGUAGCGGGUCUUUAUGCAAAAAUUAAAACCUUUAAAAUAUUCAAAUAUACCAAACAAAAACAAGUAAGAGGUUCUAGUCGGAAGAUCCCGUUUAGGGGAUACUCUGAACUCUCUUAUUCCAACACCAAAUGCAGCUCGCGCUACGCGCUCGUUUGUAUUAAAAAGGAUAAUAUAAAAAAAUGUUACAUUGCUUGCUGACGACUCACCAGCCAAAAAAAAAAGUUUCUCCGGUUGGGCUCGAGCUCGCGACAGACCGCACCACAUGCCACCGCCUCUACUCAAAAGCCACACCAAAAGUUGAAUUUCAGUGAGAAAAAACGAAUUUAAAUGGCAGCACAGAAAACAAUACAAUGGGAAUUACAAUGAUAGAAUUCAAAUUAUAUCUAUUUUAUAGUAUAUAAUUAUAGUAUUAAUAAUUUUAUUGCCUUAUAUUAAUAAGCUUUUUCAUUCACUGUUCAAUUCCAGCCCGAGGUAAUGAACACGAACAUAAUUAAAUUUUAUGUUGCACCUAUGAACUGUUCAUUCACACCAUUUCGUGUGUGUGUCUCUGUUUAGAGCUCGAAAUUCAGAAACCCCAAAAACUUCAUAUCUUGUCGAAGUCAGGUAACAGGUACAUAUGUAUAAAUGUUUCUAUUCAUAAACAAAAUAAGUGUGUGUGCUGGAAUAGCAGGUCCAAGGAAUAUUAAAUGCACACAUUCCAACGCUCAGGUACCCUUACUAUCGAUACCGAGCAUAAAUACAAGAACUUCGCAACGACAUGGCACAACCCUUCAUUAUUUCAUAUAACUCGUCCCUUCAAAAGGGCAGAAAUGAUUCCGACAUUAGAUAAAAAAUUGAAUUUGUGUGUAUUGUUGCUCGUGCGGAAACAUACACACACAUACAUAAUGAAGUAGCACUGAGAGUAAGACAAUGCAGUUUCCUGAAGUGGGGUCGAAAUAAAAAAUGGCGAUGCCUUUCUAUUGCACAAAUCAUAAGUAUGAAAGUAAGCCAAAGCAGCUUCCUGUAGUGGGAGCGAGAAAAAGACAGCGAUGCCGUUCUACUACACAAAUCAUAUGUAUUACUUACUCCCCUUGCUGUCUAAGCAUGCAUCAUAGUUAGGGCAGCAAUCUCCCCUGUUCUCAAAAUGAAGGUGGGUGUCCCUUAAGGAAACGUAUUAGGCACCUUUCUCUACAAUUUGUACACGGCAGACAUCCCCACUCUGUAUGACAUACUCGUGUUUGCUACCCCAAGCCAACACCUGAUGGCCACUGCGAGAAUGAAGCCACUGACGGGGCCAACGAAUACAAUCACUUGCUUGAGAGAUGGGCACGAAGGUGACGAGGAGACGAUGCAGUCUUUUCAUAUUUUUCCACGAUAAAGCCUCAUGGCCCAACCAAGCUUGACGAAAUAUCACACGAGACAAUCUAAUAAACGUUUAUAAUAAAAAGGGAGAAGAUGAACGUA
This 3633-nucleotide small RNA is filed under the name Drosophila virilis. Its description in RNAcentral is "GJ25708". The record is from RNAcentral. Lineage: Eukaryota; Metazoa; Arthropoda; Insecta; Diptera; Drosophilidae.